AGUUGCUUUUAUUCUGCUCCCUGCUCGGUGCUGCUGCACCGUGGAAGCUGCAGAGCUUGUGCAGCCGACUCUGAUCUGCUCAAGGACGAGGUGGUAGCAGAGAGACGAUGUCCCAGCGUGCUUAGGAGGCCCAUGAGUGUGCCCAACCAGCAGGGUAGCAGAUUGCCUGGUGGCUUUGGGCUGCCAGAAUGCAGCUGGAGGAGGAGCAGAAACUGCAUCUAGAGCACACGCUGGCCUGGCUGAGGAGAGAACUGUAUCUCCAUAACUGCGACUGGUGCUGGCAUUUUACUGAUCUUUGACAGCAAGGAGUUCCAUCUGAUAUCCAGUGGGGACACAGGAAAUGCAGAUCCCAGCUGAAUCCAUGACCAAGGCAGGAAAUGUUCAAGUUAUUGCACUGGAAACCCAUGCGGAAGGAAGGACAAGUACCCCAUGCCAGGAACCAGUCAUCCCCCAUAAGGAAAUGCAACCUUUGAUCUGCCACGCUGCAGGUGCUGUAAGCACCCGGCAUGAUCCCCUGCCCAGUGUUCCUGCCAGUUAGAUGUUUGCUGGUUGACACAGCACCUCUGAGUCUCCUCAUCAAGCUAUAUUGAAUUCCCUACAUCAAUUCUUCCAGCCCACGUUUCCCUUCUACAAAUUGCCUUCUGUUUCUUGGUACAUUCUACGGGAGGUUCCCAGAACUGCACUGGGUUCUGUUCUCACACUGGUGUAACGUUGAUGUAAAUGAGAAAACAAGGCUCACUGUGUCUAAAUCAGACCAUUCAAAGUCCUCGGGCUGAAAGUAAAAACCCCUAUCUCUUGAAAUGUUUGCAAGAAACUAAAUUAUAUCAUCAACAUAAGAGAGACACGGUAGGCAAGGUAAUAACUUUUAUGGGACCAACUUCUGUUGGUGAGGGAGAAGCUUUUGAACUUUUGAGAUAGUACUCAGCGAGUCACAGCUAAAUACAAGGUGGAACAGAUAAGGGGUUAACAUAUGUUGCAAGGGACCAUUCAAAGUGAAGUGAGCAGCUAACACCUCUACAGCUGUAGGACAAAGGAGGGUUAGUGGGUUACAGAGUGUUGUAAUGAGCCAUAAAUCCAGUGUCUUUAUUAUUUUUGUGAUUUUUGGUGUCUAGCACAGGUAUGAA
This is a long non-coding RNA of Trachemys scripta elegans, 1124 nucleotides long. RefSeq lists it as uncharacterized. The record is from RefSeq and is a predicted model, not a curated record. Lineage: Eukaryota; Metazoa; Chordata; Testudines; Emydidae. The transcript is spliced from 4 exons.